UUAAAUUGAAGAGUUUGAUCAUGGCUCAGAUUGAACGCUGGCGGCAGGCCUAACACAUGCAAGUCGAACGGUAACAGGAAGCGCUUGCUGCUUCGCUGACGAGUGGCGGACGGGUGAGUAAUGUCUGGGAAACUGCCUGAUGGAGGGGG
Molecule: ribosomal RNA, 149 nt
Filed under: Shigella flexneri
Lineage: Bacteria; Pseudomonadati; Pseudomonadota; Gammaproteobacteria; Enterobacterales; Enterobacteriaceae
Description: partial 16S ribosomal RNA
Rfam family: Bacterial small subunit ribosomal RNA
Source: RNAcentral